RNAcentral lists this long non-coding RNA (323 nucleotides) under Capsella rubella. Its description in RNAcentral is "long non-coding RNA (CRUB_LNC003331)". The record is from RNAcentral. Lineage: Eukaryota; Viridiplantae; Streptophyta; Magnoliopsida; Brassicales; Brassicaceae.
GACGUUUGUGUAAGCCUAUGAGAAAAGUAUACAGAGAAGUAGGACUUGAAACUAUAUAUGGGGAGGAGGAGGAAUGUGUAUGCUUUUCUUGUAGGAGAGGCAAAUUUAAGGGUCCAAAGUGGAUUUUGUAAUACAAAGUGGAAUACAUGUGGUGACAAAUCAGUACGAAAAGCCAAAGGCAACUCAGCUUUACCCCCUAAUACUAUUUUCAAUCUCAAACUUCUCAUACAAAUUAUAAAUAAAGAUGUAAUAUGGGUACUGCUUACUGAGUGGGUGUCUCUCUUUUUAUGCAAAGUGUAUCAUUUAUUUUAUAUAUUUAAAAG